Molecule: ribosomal RNA, 502 nt
Filed under: uncultured bacterium
Lineage: Bacteria
Description: bacterial SSU rRNA
Rfam family: Bacterial small subunit ribosomal RNA
Source: RNAcentral
UGAACGCUGGCGGCGUGCUUAACACAUGCAAGUCGCACGAGAACGCUUUAGCUUGCUAGAGCUAGUAAAGUGGCGCACGGGUGAGUAACGCGUGGGUAAUCUACCCUUGAAUUCGGGACAACACUUCGAAAGGGGUGCUAAUACCGGAUAACAUCAUAAAGUCUUUGGAUUAUAUGAUCGAAGGUGGCCUCUCCAUGGAAGCUACUGUUUGAGGAUGAGCCCGCGUACCAUUAGCUUGUUGGUGAGGUAACGGCUCACCAAGGCUACGAUGGUUAGCUGGUCUGAGAGGAUGAUCAGCCACACUGGAACUGACACACGGUCCAGACUCCUACGGGAGGCAGCAGUGAGGAAUUUUGCGCAAUGGGCGAAAGCCUGACGCAGCAACGCCGCGUGAGUGAUGAAGGCUCUUGGGUCGUAAAGCUCUGUCAAGUGGGAAGAACCGACGAAAUGUUAAUAUCAUAUUGUCCUGACGGUACCACUGAAGGAAGCACCGGCUAACUCC